GCCGGGUGUGGUGGCGCGCGCCUGUAAUCCUAGCUACUCAGGAGGCUGAGGCAGGAGAAUUGCUGGAAUCCGGGAGGCGGAGGUGCAGUGAGCCGAGAUCGCGCCACUGCACUGCAGCCUGGGGGACAGGGCGAGAAUCUGACUCUU
RNAcentral lists this non-coding RNA (147 nucleotides) under Pan troglodytes (chimpanzee). Lineage: Eukaryota; Metazoa; Chordata; Mammalia; Primates; Hominidae. The record is from Rfam by way of RNAcentral.